CAUGGAGAUUAGAUACGCUGUCAGAAAGUCUACCACAGUGUUUAAUACUAUUUGGCAACCUUUACUAACCUUUGCUGAGAACAUGGAAACUGACUGUCUGAUUAGCUCUGUUCCUCUCUCUCGUACCCAAAGGCAGCCUAGCAAGGUUGGAUAUUUCAGAUAUAAGGUAAACAUUCAUCUCGAUCACUUGUUAAAUACAUCCAAUACCAAAUAAUAAUGGCUGCACAUUUCAUGCAUCAAUAACAAAAUAACAGUUGCCUCAAUUUAUAUUCUGCUAAUUACUAAAUGUUUUUAUGCUCUUUGGCACAGAAGCUCGAGUAGCCAUUUACCCUUCAUGAUUGAUGGUCUUCAUUACACACCCAUUAAUGAGACCAUAUACAGACACGCACAACAAAGGUGGUGGCUUCAGAAAACAAGUGCAAGCACAUCUAGGUCUUCUGGCUUUAAGAUGUUGCUAUAGUUACUUCUGGUGCUAUAGUGUAAGGUGUUGUAGUCCUCUGGGGAAUACUGCUGUUCCUAUAGUUACUUCUGGUGCUGUAGUGUAAGGUGGUGUGGUCCUCUGGGGAAUACUGCUGUUGCUAUAGUUACUUCUGUUGCUGUAGUGUAAGGUGGUGUGGUCCUCUGGGGAAUAAAGCUGUUGCUAUAGUUUAAGGUGUUGUAGUCUUUUAAGUUAAUGUUGAUUAGGGCACUGCAUAAGUUAAAAUACUCUCUAAAGAGGCUUGUGGAAGGGCUGUCCCACGCUCUAGAGGACGCGUGGUCUGGAUACAGCUUGGCGCUGGCGCAGGUGCUGAGUGUGUUUGAGGAGAUUUCACUUAAAAGCACACUAGAUCAGAUCAAGGAGAAACACAACCUGCAGACAGCCAAGAAGAAACAGAUCUGAAAUGUUGCGUUUGGGAAUUUCUUUGGAGUGCUGGCCUUGUCUCAGUCCAUACGACUACACAAGGAGCCACAGGUGCUGUUGGAGUGUGUUAAGCUGUUACAGAGUCUGGCUCAGUACAGGGAUCACCUGAGAGACCUGCCCAGGAAGACCAUGGUGGACAUCCUGAGUGAGGUGACACUUCUCUGCUCAGCCCCUCUAUAACCACACCUCCUCCAUUCAGCCGGCGCAGUUCACGUUAAUCCCCUACU
Molecule: non-coding RNA, 1128 nt
Organism: Electrophorus electricus (electric eel)
Lineage: Eukaryota; Metazoa; Chordata; Actinopteri; Gymnotiformes; Gymnotidae
Source: RefSeq, a predicted model, not a curated record